AUUGAACGCUGGCGGCAUGCCUUACACAUGCAAGUCGAACGGCAGCACGGGGGCAACCCUGGUGGCGAGUGGCGGACGGGUGAGUAAUGCAUCGGAACGUGCCCUGAAGUGGGGGAUAACGCAGCGAAAGCUACGCUAAUACCGCAUAUUCUGUGAGCAGGAAAGCAGGGGAUCGCAAGACCUUGCGCUUUGGGAGCGGCCGAUGUCGGAUUAGCUAGUUGGUGGGGUAAAGGCCUACCAAGGCGACGAUCCGUAGCGGGUCUGAGAGGAUGAUCCGCCACACUGGGACUGAGACACGGCCCAGACUCCUACGGGAGGCAGCAGUGGGGGAAUUUUUGGGACAAAUAGGGCGGAAAGGACCUGAUCCAGCCAUGCCGCGUGAGUGAAGAAGGA
RNAcentral lists this ribosomal RNA (393 nucleotides) under uncultured bacterium. Its description in RNAcentral is "bacterial SSU rRNA". It matches the Rfam family "Bacterial small subunit ribosomal RNA", at positions 29 to 415 of the family's 1533-position model. The record is from RNAcentral.